AAAAAGAUAAGCUAAAGAAGCUACUGGGUUCAUACCCCACGCAUAAAGGUUUUACCCCUUUUCUUUUUA
This 69-nucleotide transfer RNA is filed under the name Caryopemon giganteus. RNAcentral describes it as "tRNA-Met". Lineage: Eukaryota; Metazoa; Arthropoda; Insecta; Coleoptera; Chrysomelidae. The record is from RNAcentral.